RNAcentral lists this unclassified non-coding RNA (501 nucleotides) under uncultured Hyaloscyphaceae. Its description in RNAcentral is "sequence contains ITS1, 5.8S rRNA gene and ITS2". The stretch from base 175 to 331 matches the Rfam family "5.8S ribosomal RNA". Lineage: Eukaryota; Fungi; Ascomycota; Leotiomycetes; Helotiales. The record is from RNAcentral.
CAUUACCGAGUUCAUGCCCUUACGGGUAGAUCUCCCACCCUAUGUUAUCAUUACCUUUGUUGCUUUGGCGGGCCGCCAGGCUUCGGCUAGGCUAUCGGCUUCGGCUGGUAAGCGCCCGCCAGGGGACCCAACAUCCUGAUUAUUAGUGUCGUCUGAGUACUAUAUAAUAGUUAAAACUUUCAACAACGGAAUCUCUUGGUUCUGGCAUCGAUGAAGAACGCAGCGAAAUGCGAUAAGUAAUGUGAAUUGCACGAAUUCAGUGUAAUCAUCGAAUCUUUGAACGCACAUUGCGCCCCUUGGUAUUCCGAGGGGCAUGCCUGUUCGAGCGUCAUUACAACCCUCAAGCAUUGCUUGGUGUUGGGCUCCGCUGCUAACCUAGCGGGCCUUAAAAUCAGUGGCGGUGCCGUCGGGCCCUGAGCGUAGUAAAUCUCCUCGCUACAGGGACUCGAUAGACGCUGGCCAUCAGCCCCCUCUACUUUCUAAGUUUGACCUCGGAUCAGG